RNAcentral lists this ribosomal RNA (429 nucleotides) under Gemmatimonadota bacterium. RNAcentral's name for it is "Gemmatimonadetes bacterium partial 16S ribosomal RNA". It matches the Rfam family "Bacterial small subunit ribosomal RNA", at positions 355 to 776 of the family's 1533-position model. Lineage: Bacteria; Pseudomonadati; Gemmatimonadota. The record is from RNAcentral.
UAGGGAAUCUUCGGCAAUGGACGAAAGUCUGACCGAGCAACGCCGCGUGAGUGAAGAAGGUUUUCGGAUCGUAAAACUCUGUUGUUAGAGAAGAACAAGGACGUUAGUAACUGAACGUCCCCUGACGGUAUCUAACCAGAAAGCCACGGCUAACUACGUGCCAGCAGCCGCGGUAAUACGUAGGUGGCAAGCGUUGUCCGGAUUUAUUGGGCGUAAAGCGAGCGCAGGCGGUUUCUUAAGUCUGAUGUGAAAGCCCCCGGCUCAACCGGGGAGGGUCAUUGGAAACUGGGAGACUUGAGUGCAGAAGAGGAGAGUGGAAUUCCAUGUGUAGCGGUGAAAUGCGUAGAUAUAUGGAGGAACACCAGUGGCGAAGGCGGAUCUAUGGUCUGUACCUGACGCUGAGGCUCGAAAGCGUGGGGAGCAAACAGG